This 417-nucleotide ribosomal RNA is filed under the name Asterionella japonica. RNAcentral describes it as "SSU rRNA". It matches the Rfam family "Eukaryotic small subunit ribosomal RNA", at positions 567 to 990 of the family's 1831-position model. The record is from RNAcentral. Lineage: Eukaryota; Bacillariophyta; Fragilariophyceae; Tabellariales; Tabellariaceae.
CCAGCAGCUGCGGUAAUUCCAGCUCCAAUAGCGUAUAUUAAAGUUGUUGCAGUUAAAAAGCUCGUAGUUGGAUUUGUGGUUGGAGAGGUCCGCCGUUGCUAUGCUUCGUGUUGGAUCUUUCCGUCCAUCCUUGGGUGGAUCCUGUGUGGCAUUCAGUUGUCGUGCAGGGGAUGCCCAUCGUUUACUGUGAAAAAAUUAGAGUGUUCAAAGCAGGCUUACGCCUUGAAUAUAUUAGCAUGGAAUAAUAAGAUAGGACCUGGGUACUAUUUUGUUGGUUUGCGCACCGAGGUAAUGAUUAAUAGGGACAGUUGGGGGUAUUCGUAUUCCAUUGUCAGAGGUGAAAUUCUUGGAUUUUUGGAAGACGAACUACUGCGAAAGCAUUUACCAAGGAUGUUUUCAUUAAUCAAGAACGAAAGU